This 1870-nucleotide long non-coding RNA is filed under the name Sus scrofa (pig). Its description in RNAcentral is "lncRNA (ENSSSCG00000044857.1)". Lineage: Eukaryota; Metazoa; Chordata; Mammalia; Artiodactyla; Suidae. The record is from RNAcentral.
UGGGUUAAAGGCUCCAGCAUUGCCACAGCUGCGGCUUAGGUAGCAACUGUGGCUUGGAUCUGAUCCCUGGCCCAGGAACUCCAUAUGCUGCUUUGCAGCCAAAAAAGGGAGAAAAAAAAAGAAUACUAAAGAUUGAAAAAAAAAAAAGCAUACAUGGCUCACAUCAUAUCUAUAGGUUGGCCCUGGACCAGGGAGAAGAAGUGCUCAGAUCAUUGAUAUAUUUUAUUAACGAUACAUUAUUCAUUUUGACCUUAUUGGCUUUACCGGUUGCCUCAGCCAGCAUCAUCUGCCCUCCCCGCAGACCCAUUUUGCCGACAAAGAAACUGAGGCUCAGGACCACAGCCUCAGGAGAUUGGAGUGGGUAGGUCUUUAUCUUCUUGGCACCACCAGCCAGCUGGGGACAAGGUUCUCUGACCUUGUUUUGCCAGCUCUCUUCCCCAACCCCGGCCCUCUUAUCUCACCAGCUGCGUCAUUAGUUCCCUGGGGAGGCAGAGGCCACCUGCGGCCUCCUCUUUCAGGCUCCUCGCUGAGACCCCGCCCACUACCCUCUUCAUAUUUGUUGGAUGGAUCCUGUGACCUGGGUGCUGCUUGCUUAGCUUGGCUGAAACAGGUUUCUGGACCCCCCUCUCCUCCCCGCUUAUCACUCCGGGGCAAGGCUGAGGGUGCUAUAAUAUUUGCUCAGGGAUCUGACGCCAGGUGUGGCUUCCUGUUCCAGCCAGGCAAGGUCUGGGCUUGGUCCUGGGGAGGCUGGACUCGGAGAAAGGGCCCUAUGUCCCCUUAGUUUCUCACCCUCAAAAGAAGCCCCAGGCUCCCACGUAGGAGGGGACGGCAGAUUGGAGGGGUGAGCCUCGGACUUCGCACAGGCUGUUCCCUUUGCCUGGAUAGUCCGACCUUUCCCUCACCCCAUCCUCCUCAUGCCUCAUUCACCUGGGUUUUUCCAAGUCAUUCAGUCAUUUAACAAAUAUUUACUGAAUGCUGACUAUCUGCCGGGCUGUGUUGGGGAUACAGGCAACAUCCCUUUCCUUGCGGAACUAAAUCCUAUUGGAGGGAGAUGAGCAAUAAUCAAAAAACUGAUAGCAUAUUGUGUUGGGUGGUGAUAAGCGCUAUAAAAAUAUGAAAUAGGGCAAGAGGACAGGGAGUGGCAGGGGUUGCUCUUUUGGUAGGGAGGUCAGGGAGGGCCUUUCCUAGGUGACAUUUGAGCUGAGAUCUGAAGGAGUCAACAGAGGGCGACUGUGACUAACUAUGUGGGGAAAGAGUGUUUUGGGGUUGAAGUCUCAGCAAGUGCAAAGGCCCUGAGGCAGGAUGGUCUCAGAUGAGUGUGAGGAUGGCGGCAAGGAGGUUGGUGUGGCUAGAGCUGAGGGAGGGGGACAGUGGGACAAGCCGGUUAUAGAAGGAGCAGGGGAGGGGUUCCCUGGUGGCUCAGCAGCUUAAGGAUCUGGCAUUGUCACUGCUGUGGCAUGGGUUCGAUCCCUGGCCCGGGAACUUCUGUGUGCCUUGGGUAUGGCCACAACAAAAUUUUUUUUUUGGUCUUUUUUUAGGGCCACACCCACGGCAUAUGGAGGUUCCCAGGCUAGGGAUCGAUUUGGAACUGUGGCUGCCGGCCUACACCACAGCCACAGCAAUGUCAGAUCCAAGCUGAGUCUGGGACCUACACUGCAGCUCAUAGCCAUGCUGGAUCCUUAACCCACUGAGUGAGGCCAGGGAUCGAACCUUCAUCCUCAUGGAUGCUAGUCAGAUUCGUUUCCACAGAGCCACGAAGGGAACACCUGUGUGGAAAUUUUUAAAAAAUGGUUCAAUAUCUUGAAAUGUUUGCCUCUCCAGUGGAACCGUUUCCUCACACGAAUCUUCCAUGGAGCCCCAGGCCUCCAGC